RNAcentral lists this ribosomal RNA (153 nucleotides) under uncultured Alphaproteobacteria bacterium. Its description in RNAcentral is "partial 16S ribosomal RNA". It matches the Rfam family "Bacterial small subunit ribosomal RNA", at positions 335 to 504 of the family's 1533-position model. The record is from RNAcentral. Lineage: Bacteria; Pseudomonadati; Pseudomonadota; Alphaproteobacteria.
ACUCCUACGGGAGGCAGCAGUNGGGAAUAUUGCNCAAUGGGCGAAAGCCUGAUNCAGCCACGCCGCGUGAGNGANGANGGCCUUAGGGUUGUAAACCUCUUUCAGCAGGUGAAGANAAUGACGGUACCUCCAAAAGAAGCCCCGGCUAACUCC